GUGGGGAAUAUUGGACAAUGGGCGAAAGCCUGAUCCAGCCAUGCCGCGUGUGUGAAGAAGGUCUUCGGAUUGUAAAGCACUUUAAGUUGGGAGGAAGGGCAGUAAGUUAAUACCUUGCUGUUUUGACGUUACCAACAGAAUAAGCACCGGCUAACUUCGUGCCAGCAGCCGCGGUAAUACGAAGGGUGCAAGCGUUAAUCGGAAUUACUGGGCGUAAAGCGCGCGUAGGUGGUUUUGUAAGUUGGAGGUGAAAUCCCCGGGCUCAACCUGGGAACUGCCUCAAAAACUGCAUGACUAGAGUACGGUAGAGGGUAGUGGAAUUUCCUGUGUAGCGGUGAAAUGCGUAGAUAUAGGAAGGAACACCAGUGGCGAAGGCGACUACCUGGACUGAUACUGACACUGAGGUGCGAAAGCGUGGGGAGCAAACAGGAUUAGAAACCCUAGUAGUCC
This 450-nucleotide ribosomal RNA is filed under the name uncultured bacterium. Its description in RNAcentral is "partial 16S ribosomal RNA". It matches the Rfam family "Bacterial small subunit ribosomal RNA", at positions 354 to 796 of the family's 1533-position model. The record is from RNAcentral.